This 433-nucleotide ribosomal RNA is filed under the name uncultured bacterium. Its description in RNAcentral is "partial 16S ribosomal RNA". It matches the Rfam family "Bacterial small subunit ribosomal RNA", at positions 29 to 507 of the family's 1533-position model. The record is from RNAcentral.
AACGAACGCUGGCGGCAUGCCUAACACAUGCAAGUCGAACGAGACCUUCGGGUCUAGUGGCGCACGGGUGCGUAACGCGUGGGAACCUGCCUUUAGGUUCGGAAUAGCUCAGAGAAAUUUGAGCUAAUACCGGAUGAUGUCUUCGGACCAAAGAUUUAUCGCCUUUAGAUGGGCCCGCGUUGGAUUAGCUAGUUGGUGGGGUAAAGGCCUACCAAGGCGACGAUCCAUAGCUGGUCUGAGAGGAUGAUCAGCCACACUGGGACUGAGACACGGCCCAGACUCCUACGGGAGGCAGCAGUGGGGAAUAUUGGACAAUGGGCGAAAGCCUGAUCCAGCAAUGCCGCGUGAGUGAUGAAGGCCUUAGGGUUGUAAAGCUCUUUUACCCGAGAUGAUAAUGACAGUAUCGGGAGAAUAAGCUCCGGCUAACUCCGUG